RNAcentral lists this ribosomal RNA (508 nucleotides) under uncultured bacterium. RNAcentral's name for it is "partial 16S ribosomal RNA". The stretch from base 20 to 330 matches the Rfam family "Bacterial small subunit ribosomal RNA", at positions 47 to 358 of the family's 1533-position model. The record is from RNAcentral.
GACGAACGCUGGCGGCGCGCCUAACACAUGCAAGUCGAACGAGCGAGCGAGAGCUUGCUUUCUCAAGCGAGUGGCGAACGGGUGAGUAACGCGUGAGGAACCUGCCUCAAAGAGGGGGACAACAGUUGGAAACGACUGCUAAUACCGCAUAAGCCCACGACCCGGCAUCGGGUAGAGGGAAAAGGAGCAAUCCGCUUUGAGAUGGCCUCGCGUCCGAUUAGCUAGUUGGUGAGGUAACGGCCCACCAAGGCGACGAUCGGUAGCCGGACUGAGAGGUUGAACGACAGAGUAGCACGUGGAACCGGCCAAGGACACAGAGGGAGGAGAGGGGGUGGGAAGUGGGCACGGUGGGGGAAGCCGGGCGGAGCGGAGGUAGCGUGUAGGAAGGAGGUGUGCGGAGUGAGAACGCGCUUGGAAAAGGAAAAAAAGGAGAGAAUAAAAAAAGGAGGUGACGGCCAACGACGCCAGAGAGGCGGUGAUAAUAGUGCGGAACAUAACUCGUCUGAUC